AUGGCGCAUGUAGCCGGUUUGCUCGCCUCGGCUGUGGUCUCAGCGGUGUGCAAUAAGCUGGGUUCCGCCAUUGGGGACGAGGUCGCAAUGUUGUGGAGCUUCAAGGACGACAUCAAGGACAUGAAGGACACAUUGGAGUACAUGGAGGCGGCGCUCAAGGAUGCUGAGAGGCGGUCUGUCACAGAGGAGUUGGUGCGGUUGUGGCUCAAGCGGCUCAAGAACGCUGCCUACGACAUCUCUUACAUGCUCGAUGAGUUCCAAGCUGACAGUGAACCAGCCUCCAGAAAGAUGAUUGGGAAGCUGGACUGUUUUGCUAUUGCACCCAAGAUUACCAUGGCUUAUAAGAUGAAGAAGGUGAGGGGUCAGCUGAGGAAGAUCAGAGAGGAUCACGAGAUUUUCAAAUUCACACAUGAUCACUCCAACCUAAUUAAUGUGCAGCAGUUUCCUGACCCACGGGAAACAACGUCAAAUGUGGUUGAAUCACUCAUCAUAGGGAGAGACAGAGACAGGAUGAAUGUCCUUUCCUUGUUAUCAAGCAACAACAACAAAGAAGAUAGCACAGUUCUUCCUAUCUGUGGGCUUGGAGGCAUAGGAAAGACAACUUUAGCACAACUGGCCUUCAAUGAUGCUCAGUUCAAAGAUUAUAAUCAUCGGAUAUGGGUCUAUGUAUCCCAGGUGUUUGACUUGAAAAAAAUUGGGAACUCUAUAAUUUCUCAAGUACUGGGGAAAGGAAGCCAGAAUCUAGAUACAAGACAGUUGAUAGACCAACGCCUUAAAGAUCUACUUCGAAAUAAAAAAAACUUUAAUUGUUUUAGAUGA
RNAcentral lists this ribosomal RNA (819 nucleotides) under Triticum aestivum (bread wheat). RNAcentral's name for it is "partial small subunit ribosomal RNA". Lineage: Eukaryota; Viridiplantae; Streptophyta; Magnoliopsida; Poales; Poaceae. The record is from RNAcentral.